Molecule: ribosomal RNA, 216 nt
Filed under: uncultured bacterium
Lineage: Bacteria
Description: partial 16S ribosomal RNA
Rfam family: Bacterial small subunit ribosomal RNA
Source: RNAcentral
CGAGCAAUCUGCCCUUCACAUCGGAAUAACCAUUGGAAACGAUGGCUAAUACCGAAUAUGACUUCGGAUCGCAUGAUCUGAAGUGGAAAGCUCCGGCGGUGAAGGAUGAGCUCGCGGCCUAUCAGCUUGUUGGUGAGGUAAUAGCUCACCAAGGCGAUGACGGGUAGCCGGCCUGAGGAGGGUGACCGGCCACACUGGGACUGAGACACCGGCAGA